CGGCAUGCUUAACACAUGCAAGUCGAACGGCAGCACAGCAGUAGCAAUACUGUGGGUGGCGAGUGGCGGACGGGUGAGUAAUGCAUCGGGAUCUACCCAAACGUGGGGGAUAACGUAGGGAAACUUACGCUAAUACCGCAUACGUCCUACGGGAGAAAGCGGGGGACCGAAAGGCCUCGCGCGGUUGGACGAACCGAUGUGCGAUUAGCUAGUUGGUAGGGUAAUGGCCUACCGAUGCGACGAUCGCUAGCUGGUCUGAGAGGAUGAUCAGCCACACUGGAACUGAGACACGGUCCAUACUCCUACGGGAGGCAGCAGUGGGGAAUAUUGGACAAUGGGCGCAAGCCUGAUCCAGCAAUGCCGCGUGUGUGAAGAAGGCCUUCGGGUUGUAAAGCACUUUUAUCAGGAGCGAAAUACUACUGGCUAAUAACCGGUGGGGCUGACGGUACCUGAGGAAUAAGCACCGGCUAACUUCGUGCCAGCAGCCGCGGUAAUACGAAGGGUGCAAGCGUUAAUCGGAAUUACUGGGCGUAAAGCGUGCGUAGGCGGUUAUUUAAGUCUGUUGUG
Molecule: ribosomal RNA, 567 nt
Filed under: Dyella sp. Is-D136
Lineage: Bacteria; Pseudomonadati; Pseudomonadota; Gammaproteobacteria; Lysobacterales; Rhodanobacteraceae
Description: bacterial SSU rRNA
Rfam family: Bacterial small subunit ribosomal RNA
Source: RNAcentral